Long non-coding RNA from Heterocephalus glaber (naked mole-rat), 1740 nucleotides. RefSeq lists it as uncharacterized. The record is from RefSeq and is a predicted model, not a curated record. Lineage: Eukaryota; Metazoa; Chordata; Mammalia; Rodentia; Bathyergidae.
ACCACCUCCAGUGGGCAGAGGGAAGACCCCAAUUUUCCCAAAUAGCAGACUUAUGACCAACUCAGCAACCACAUAAAGGUAUAUGAGGGCAAUUUCUAUUCAACAAAUAUUUAUUGGCACCCAUAGGGCACCAACACAAUGGAACAGAAAUUAAAAAGACAAGGCAGUGUUAUCCUUAAAACACUUUCAAUCUUUCCGUUUCUUUGGGGACAAAAACAAUGACCUCACAUCCAGUGAGCUUGUUGUGCCAGCGUCUGACCAGAUGAAAGUUUGUUCUAAGUGACAGAAAACUACUGGAGGAUGUGCUCCACCAAGACACGAGAGUAAACCAAGAAAGGAGAAAGGCAUUGGACCCAGAAAGGAACACAAGUUGAUGUCAAUUUUGCUUCAGAUACCCCUACCUGCUCUGCUGACAGGUCAAAAAUCAAGAAAAGACCAUGCUUCCUGACAGACCCUUUGGGAACCAAGGCAAUGGUCUCCCCACCUGACUAAAGGUUAGCCAGCAUCAGGGAGCAGGAUCCCCCAGGGCCAGUCAUUCAAUAAAGAUUUAAAUACCCCCUGUGAGCAGGUUCCACAGGCAAUGCAGGGAAAGAGCUCUCAGGAAGCAUAGGUGGAGGCAGGGACUCAAAUUUCAGAUAAGAUACUGCAGAGUAGAUUCAGCAACUUAAUGCAAUACACCUGCAACUUCUCUCAGCAUGCUGAGAGUGAGCCCCAAGUCUGAAGGUGUCCCUUGCAUACAUGAAUUAACUAGUCCUGUGCAUGUAGGAAGGCAGCGGGAAGGUUGAGAAAUGGUUCCUUUCUUUUCCAUGGUUUUGAUGAAAGGCGGGGGUGUUGUGAAGGGAAAGCUCUAUCUGAAUGGUGAGGGAAUGCCUCUCAGAAGUGGCACCAAGCCAGAACAGUGAGAGCUGUGCCAGGAUCCAGGGCAAAGAGGGAGAGAGAAGGGAAGAAAGUUCCAGGCAGGGAGAACAUGUCCCAAGGCAGAACAAUCUUGGCUGCCUCAAGAGGCAGCAAGAACAGGAGGCCAAGAUGGGGUCAGAGCGCUGCUGCCAGAGAAACGGCUCCCAAACACCAUGGCCCAGAAGGUAGAUCUGGACUUGCAAGACCCGGAAGAACUCAGCUCAAAGACCUUCUCCUACAGGGAAAGACCAGGGGCUUUUGGUCUUAGCUCAUAAACAGAAGUUGCUUCCAGACUUCAUCCCAGGAAGAUGCCCCUUGUUGGGAGCAUGAGGCACACUGUGUUAAGCAGGGCCUCUUUUUCUCACCAAACUCGCUUGCCAGGAAGCCCUGGCCACACUACACAUCGGCUUGAAGAGCCACGCGCUGGACCUGCACCCUCAGUCUCCAUCGAGCACCACGAUCUGUUUCCAAUAAGGCAGUCCAGCCCUGGAGGCAGGCACAGUCUCACACAAGCCCUUGCCACUUCUUUGAAUCAGACUUUGCAAAAACAACCUUGCUCUCCAGCCAACAUAAACCAUAGGCAACAGAGGGCCUUAUAUGGCUCAAAGCUUUCUUAAUCAGAAAGAUAGACAGGCUGGAGUUGGCAGCUGCACAUUAGAGGAGAGAGAGAGACAGGGAGAAAAGAAUGGAUAGCGUGGGGGACAUACAAACUUGUUUGUCAAACUCCUCUCUUCAUCCCUCUUCUGCCUCCCUCACUUCCCAGCAAAGAACUCCUACUGGAGGCCAAGGCUUGCAGCCUGUUGUUUACAUUUUGGUUUAAGCCAGACUGCUGGGUGAUCCACA